Molecule: ribosomal RNA, 244 nt
Filed under: uncultured bacterium
Lineage: Bacteria
Description: partial 16S ribosomal RNA
Rfam family: Bacterial small subunit ribosomal RNA
Source: RNAcentral
UACGUAGGGGGCUAGCGUUGUCCGGAUUUAUUGGGCGUAAAGAGCGUGUAGGCGGCCAGAUAGGUCUGCUGUGAAAACUCGAGGCUCAACCUCGAGAUGUCGGCGGAAACCAUUUGGCUAGAGUCCGGAAGAGGAAAGUGGAAUUCCUGGUGUAGCGGUGAAAUGCGCAGAUAUCAGGAGGAACACCGGUGGCGAAGGCGGUUCUCUGGGCAUUGACCUGACGCUGAGGAGCGAAAGUGUGGAG